GGUAAAAUGGCUGAUAUAGGCAAUAGAUUGUAAAUUUAUGCAUGAAAAAAAAUUUUUUCUUUUACUAA
RNAcentral lists this transfer RNA (68 nucleotides) under Corthylus rubricollis. RNAcentral describes it as "tRNA-Tyr". The record is from RNAcentral. Lineage: Eukaryota; Metazoa; Arthropoda; Insecta; Coleoptera; Curculionidae.